UACGGAGGGUGCAAGCGUUAUCCGGAUUCACUGGGUUUAAAGGGUGCGUAGGCGGGCCCUUAAGUCAGUGGUGAAAGCUCCGAGCUUAACUCGGAAACUGCCAUUGAUACUAUAGGUCUUGAAUUCGGUCGAGGUUGGCGGAAUGUGUCGUGUAGCGGUGAAAUGCUUAGAUAUGACACAGAACACCGAUUGCGAAGGCAGCUAGCUAGACCGACAUUGACGCUGAGGCACGAAAGCGUGGGGAUCAAACAGG
This 253-nucleotide ribosomal RNA is filed under the name uncultured bacterium. RNAcentral describes it as "partial 16S ribosomal RNA". It matches the Rfam family "Bacterial small subunit ribosomal RNA", at positions 524 to 776 of the family's 1533-position model. The record is from RNAcentral.